GCUUGCUUCUCUGAUGUUAGCGGCGGACGGGUGAGUAACACGUGGAUAACCUACCUAUAAGACUGGGAUAACUUCGGGAAACCGGAGCUAAUACCGGAUAAUAUUUUGAACCGCAUGGUUCAAAAGUGAAAGACGGUCUUGCUGUCACUUAUAGAUGGAUCCGCGCUGCAUUAGCUAGUUGGUAAGGUAACGGCUUACCAAGGCAACGAUGCAUAGCCGACCUGAGAGGGUGAUCGGCCACACUGGAACUGAGACACGGUCCAGACUCCUACGGGAGGCAGCAGUAGGGAAUCUUCCGCAAUGGGCGAAAGCCUGACGGAGCAACGCCGCGUGAGUGAUGAAGGUCUUCGGAUCGUAAAACUCUGUUAUUAGGGAAGAACAUAUGUGUAAGUAACUGUGCACAUCUUGACGGUACCUAAUCAGAAAGCCACGGCUAACUACGUGCCAGCAGCCGCGGUAAUACGUAGGCGGCAAGCGUUAUCCGGAAUUAUUGGGCGUAAAGCGCGCGUAGGCGGUUUUUUAAGCCUGAUGUGAAAGCCCACGGCUCAACCGUGGAGGGUCAUUGGAAACUGGAAAACUUGAGUGCAGAAGAGGAAAGUGGAAUUCCAUGUGUAGCGGUGAAAUGCGCAGAGAUAUGGAGGAACACCAGUGGCGAA
RNAcentral lists this ribosomal RNA (656 nucleotides) under uncultured Staphylococcus sp. Its description in RNAcentral is "bacterial SSU rRNA". It matches the Rfam family "Bacterial small subunit ribosomal RNA", at positions 78 to 719 of the family's 1533-position model. Lineage: Bacteria; Bacillati; Bacillota; Bacilli; Caryophanales; Staphylococcaceae. The record is from RNAcentral.